UGCUUGUCUCAAAGAUUAAGCCAUGCAUGUCCAAGCAUAAACCGAAUAUGGUAAAGCCGCGAAUGGCUCAUUACAACAGCCAUAGUUUAUUGGAUCUCAGAGUCCUACUUGGAUACCUGUGGUAAUUCUAGAGCUAAUACACGCAAUCAAGCCUCAACCUUACGGGCGGGGCGCAUUUAUUAGAACAAAACCAAUUGGCUUCGGCCAUAGAUUGGUGAAUCUGAAUAACUACGCUGAUCGCACGGGCUUGUCCCGGCGACGUAUCCUUCAAGUGUCUGCCUUAUCAACUUUCGAUGGUAGUUUAUAUGACUACCAUGGUUGUAACGGGUAACGGAGAAUAAGGGUUCGACUCCGGAGAGGGAGCCUGAGAAACGGCUACCACAUCCRAGGAAGGCAGCAGGCA
RNAcentral lists this ribosomal RNA (403 nucleotides) under Nematoda environmental sample. RNAcentral's name for it is "SSU rRNA". It matches the Rfam family "Eukaryotic small subunit ribosomal RNA", at positions 29 to 436 of the family's 1831-position model. The record is from RNAcentral. Lineage: Eukaryota; Metazoa; Nematoda.